RNAcentral lists this ribosomal RNA (498 nucleotides) under Trichocomaceae sp. RNAcentral describes it as "SSU rRNA". It matches the Rfam family "Eukaryotic small subunit ribosomal RNA", at positions 612 to 1115 of the family's 1831-position model. Lineage: Eukaryota; Fungi; Ascomycota; Eurotiomycetes; Eurotiales; Trichocomaceae. The record is from RNAcentral.
GUUGCAGUUAAAAAGCUCGUAGUCGAACCUUGGGUCUGGCUGGCCGGUCCGCCUCACCGCGAGUACUGGUCCGGCUGGACCUUUCCUUCUGGGGAACCUCAUGGCCUUCACUGGCUGUGGGGGGAACCAGGACUUUUACUGUGAAAAAAUUAGAGUGUUCAAAGCAGGCCUUUGCUCGAAUACAUUAGCAUGGAAUAAUAGAAUAGGACGUGCGGUUCUAUUUUGUUGGUUUCUAGGACCGCCGUAAUGAUUAAUAGGGAUAGUCGGGGGCGUCAGUAUUCAGCUGUCAGAGGUGAAAUUCUUGGAUUUGCUGAAGACUAACUACUGCGAAAGCAUUCGCCAAGGAUGUUUUCAUUAAUCAGGGAACGAAAGUUAGGGGAUCGAAGACGAUCAGAUACCGUCGUAGUCUUAACCAUAAACUAUGCCGACUAGGGAUCGGGCGGCGUUUCUAUGAUGACCCGCUCGGCACCUUACGAGAAAUCAAAGUUUUUGGGUUCU